UAACCUCACUCUCGUCAUUGGUGUCUAGC
Molecule: non-coding RNA, 29 nt
Filed under: Homo sapiens (human)
Lineage: Eukaryota; Metazoa; Chordata; Mammalia; Primates; Hominidae
Source: RNAcentral